Molecule: ribosomal RNA, 438 nt
Filed under: Triticum aestivum (bread wheat)
Lineage: Eukaryota; Viridiplantae; Streptophyta; Magnoliopsida; Poales; Poaceae
Description: partial small subunit ribosomal RNA
Source: RNAcentral
AUGACUAGGGAUGACCUUAGGAAGAGACACAUCAUCAAACCCCUUGAUUGUGUUUACUGCUUGGAACAAGAGUCUUGUUCUCACCUAUUUUUUGAAUGUAUAGUUGCUAAACAUCUCUGGGCCCACAUUGAGGAAUAUUUCUCUAGUCAGAUUGGCUCAUCCUUCGAAUCUGUCGCCAGAUUCUGGAUUGCUACCAAAAAGUGCUCAGUUUUAAACACUGUUAGCUCAGCUGUCCUUUGGUGCCUCUGGAAAUAUAGAAAUGCUAUGAUUUUCAGUAACACCUCCUGGAUUUCCAUUCCGCAGGUCUUGAGGUUGAUCGGGAACAUGGUGAGGAACUGGGUGAUUCUCUCCUCCGGAUCGGACAAGGACAAGUUGAUGAGCUUCGUGGAAACCCUAACAAGAUCCCUCCAGAAACCGUUGGCGAUCACUUGUGGCUGA